CUCUGCUCAGCCUAAGAUGGUACAGAAGCUUAAAUCAUCUGGCUGCCACUUUGAGUCUUAGUUCUUUGUGGAAACUUCCCUGCAUAGAGACCAUGGAAAAGACUCAGAGAGGUAUUCUCAAGUAUUUAAGAUUAUACCACUGGAUUGGGUAAAGAUUUCCAAAACACUAAAGAAGAAACAUGAAUUCAUAAAGCUGCAAAUACAGCAUCAAGCAAAACAAGAAUUAAUUCCAUGGGACUGAAUGAACUGAUAAGAAUAAUUCUAAUGUGUAUGGCCCUUUUGUUUGAAACAUUACUGGUUCCUUAAUGUUUUUCCAUAUUUAAGAAACCCUUUUUCUCUGUUUUCUUAAGCUAUCUAUAACUUACAGUAACUUGGUAAAGUAUACCUUUGUGAACAAAGAUGAAAAGAUAAAACAUUUACUUUUUUUGAGACAGGGUCUCACUCUAUCAUCUGGGCUGGAGUGCAGUGGUGCGAUCACAGCUCACUGCUUCCUUGAACUCCUGGGCUCAAGCAAUCCCCCAACCUCAGCUUCCCAAGUAGCUGGGACUAUAAAUGUGCAUCACCAUGCCCAGCUAUUUUUUUUUUUUUUAAGAGAUGAGAGUUUCACUGUGUUGCCCAGGCUGAAGUGAUCCUCCAGUGAAGUGAUCCUCCAGUUUCAGCCUCCCAAAGUGCUGGGAUUACAGAUGUGAGCCACCAUGCCCCGCCAGAAACAUUCACUUUUUCUCCCCACCCGAUCCUUCCAGAAUUCGGAAAUCUUUAUUGAAUAUUCUUAUUUUCAUGGUGAUGUAUUUACAUAUGUUCAGUAAGAAUCUCUUGUCCUUAUAACAGAAUGCAAUUUGAAAUAUUACUUAUAUUAGCAAGGCUUUCACUGGAAUAUCAUAUUUUAGGAUGAUGCACAUAAAAUCAGAUAACAUCAGACAGUUUUAAGGAACUGUCAGAAGCACUUGAACAAGAGCAACUCCAUCUUGAAUAGGGGCUGAGUAAAAUGAGGCUGAGACCUACUGGGCUGCAUUCUCAGAUGGUUAGGCAUUCUAAGUCACAGAAUGAGAUAGGAGGUCGGCACAAGACACAGGUCAUAAAGACCUUCCUGAUAAAAACAAGUUGCAGUAAAGAAGCCGGCCAAAACUCACCAAAACCAAGAUGGUGAUGAGAGUGGCCUCUGGGUGUCCUCACUGCUACACUCCCACCAGCACCAUGACAGUUUACAGAUGCCAUGGCAACGUCAGGAAGUUACACUGUAUGGUCUGUAAAGGGGAGGCAUGAAUAACCCAUCCCUUGUUGAGCAUAUCAUCAAGAAAUAACCAGCAGUGCUGGCGCUGAUCUGUCUAUGGAGUAGCCAUUCUUUCAUUCCUUUACUUUCUUAAUAAACUUACUUUCACUGUAAUCUAUGAACUCGCCCCAAAUUCUUUCUUGCUUGAGAUCUAUGAACCCAUUCUGGGGGUCUAGAUCAGGACCCCUUUCUGGUAACAAAACUAAUGCUGACUUUAUGAAGCCAGUGCUUAAAAAGCCCCUUGAAAUAUUGGCCUGGUACCUGAUUAACAGGGUUCCCAACCUAACAGGUGAGUAAAAAAGGUCACUUCUUGGUAGGCCCAGGAAGCUGAAAAUAUUUUGGGGACCUCAAGAAAAAAGGAAUUCACCCAAAUCUGUAGGUAUUGCUGGUGAAGGCUGAUGGAUUGGUUUCCAGCUUUGAUAGGCUUUAACAGUCUAACCUGAAAUUCCUUAUUAAAAGUUGCAACAAAGCAGACUCAAAAAGAGCUUACAUUGUCAAUCAUUAUUCUUGCUAUUUUUAUGUAAUAAUCAGGCCAAGGUCAAUGAGAUUGACUUAUUUUGCAACAAAAAUAGUGUUACUUUGAUUAUCUUUCAUAGAAAUAGGGGUGAUUGUAGAGAGAACUAUGCUGUUUCAAUUGAAAACUAUAGCACACCCUUGUGGAUUGUCAAAUUCUAGCCGUGUUCACUGCCUUUCAGCUUUUUUAACCUCUCUGUAAACUGACUCCUGCUGUGUUUUGCAUUUUGUCAGUAAUUAACAUUUCUGAUUUUAAUCUCACCUGAUUUGGCACCACUGAGAACUAAAACCUGACUGCCUAGAUCCGUAUUGACACUACCCAGAAAAAGCCCUGCAAGCUGAAACUGGGCCCUUCCGUGCUCUGCUCUGAGAAAUAACCAUAACUGUCACAUUGUAUAUGCCAUUCCCAGAGACAUUCAAACCACAAACCCAGAAACACUUCAGACUGCCACGGCCCGUCCUCCUUCUAUCACCUAGAGAUGCGUUGAGCCCAACAUUCAGAAAUCUUCUCAACUGAUUGCCCUCUGGCCUCAGAAACUGGGUUUAUAAACAGUUCUAUCUAUUAACCUUGGUUUUCUUUUGUUUCCAUAGAAAGGUCCUCAUUAAAUGUCUUACAGCACCAUAUAGAGACCUAACCGGUGGGCACCCUAUUCCCUCUGGCAACACAAUCUCUUGAGAUACAACUUUCUGAGUAAACUGAACUCUUAUACACUGUUGGUAGGAAUGUAAGCUAUUCCCAGGACUGAGAGACUGGUUCAGUGAGAUGGGGCAAUGUGUUUAAAUUUGUCCUUUUCUGCUUACUCACUCUCGUUCCAAUCUGUUUUCCUUCCCUUUGCAGAUCUCUUAUCUUGCAACACCUAAUCCGAAUCUCUCUCAACAGCUACAAACUUGGCUUUUGAUGUAUGAAACGUCCUGAGAAAAAGAAAGUUUCAAAGGGUGGGAUAAAGGGUUCCAGAAUAUGCCACCCAAUAUAUGGAUUAUUUUGAGCUAAAAGCAACUGAGAACCAACAGACACAGGAAAGGCUCUUUCUGUCCCCUAACUGCCUAAAAGCAGAAUAUAAAUUUCCCCUUUUGUAAAGGAAAUUUAUAUUUAUAAAGUAAAUUUCUCUUGGUGAAGAUUCCUCUGUACCAGAAAGAGAGCUAGGCCUGGGGAUAACCCAUCACCUGAGACACUCUUACCUGCAUAACCCUUAUUUACAUACACGUAUACAUUUCCUGCCUUACUUUCUCAGGACUUGUCUUCUCUACUCAGAAGCCCCAAACCCCUUUCCCUUUGUUUAGUCUGAGAUGCUAUAUAAGCUUCAAUCAUCUGGGUCUCCUUGAGUCUUUUCUUUGUGAUACUCCCACGUGUAUGUAUGCACAUAAUUAAUCUGUUUUUUUCCUCUUGUUAAUCUAUGUUUUGUUAGUUUAAUUUCCAGGGCCUCAGCCAUAGAAUCUAUUGGGUAGAAGGAGAAAAAGUUAUUUGUCUCCCCUAGAAGCCAAAAUGCAGUCCUAGCCAUAGCAAUCAAGCAAGAGAAAGAAAA
RNAcentral lists this long non-coding RNA (3306 nucleotides) under Homo sapiens (human). Its description in RNAcentral is "HSALNT0366803". Lineage: Eukaryota; Metazoa; Chordata; Mammalia; Primates; Hominidae. The record is from RNAcentral.